This is a long non-coding RNA of Dendrobium catenatum, 351 nucleotides long. RefSeq lists it as uncharacterized. The record is from RefSeq and is a predicted model, not a curated record. The transcript is spliced from 3 exons. Lineage: Eukaryota; Viridiplantae; Streptophyta; Magnoliopsida; Asparagales; Orchidaceae.
CCAGGAAUCUUUCAUAUCGGAUUUGAGGGCUCUAAAUCCAGAACUUUGCAUUACAGCAGCAUAUGGGAAUAUUUUACCGUCUAACUUUCUUGAUAUUCCACCAUAUGGUACUGUCAAUGUCCACCCAAGUUUGCUGCCUCUGUACCGUGGGGCUGCACCAGUCCAAAGAGCUCUACAGGAUGGAGUCGAGGAAACUGGAGUAUCACUUGCAUAUACAGUUCGUGCAUUGGAUGCUGGCCCAGUUAUUUCACAUGAAAAAGUGGAAGUUGAUGACUACAUUAAGGUGAAUCAUUAAUGCAUCCUCUUUAGUAACUUCAUUAUGAGAAACAGUUUGACUUGUGCGUUGUUUGC